AGGGUGUGGUCGCAGGCUACAGAAAAAUCGCAACGAGUUUCAUGUCCUACACUCUCAAGCAAAUAGCACCUACGUAGCCGAUUCCUGAUCCCGGAAAAUAAAGCACCCACCGCUCACCGAUCACGUUUUCAGGGCUGCGUCAGAAUUUCGGACGGUGUCCGGCCCCACGCCAUGGAGCAGUUCCAAUGAAACAGUGGGGGUUGCAUGAUGAUUGGCUACGACCGUUGUUUCCCCGAAGCGUCCAUGCGCUUGGACGAGUCCACACGCAAACGACCUUUUCCCAACCGGUCAAGCGAUCGGAGUUGCUUGUCUACGUCCGAGAAUGGUCGCUGCGUCACGACAGCCGAGAUCACGAUUGUUUGCUUCUGAGCUCUCCCAGGUCUAUUGAUUGGGGUAGUUUUUCACGCCUUGGAUCAGGAUGAAGCAGCGAGCACGAGAGAGUAGUGGGUGUAUAUGUUGUUGGUGAGCCGCUUUCAACGAAGGUUGUUCUGACGGGAGUAUUGUUCAACGAGCAACGUUGAAGACCUUGCGCCGCAAUUGAUGCUCUCGCGCGGUGUGGGACCCACCAUGACUCCUGUUGUGCUAGACCCAUGACAGGGGAGCGAUUUUGUGAAGCUGGGGAGUCGGGACUCUGUGUUCUGAAGUUGUAGCUUCGUUUUGUGCUCUUGUAAAGUGUCGGAGACGCUAGAAUGCAAGAUUUGGUGCGUUUCGGAACUAUUGAGUGUGUACGGCUCUUGAUUUCGAAGCAUACAAGCACCGAAAGUUGGGUUUAAAUUUUAUCAUAGUUGACGUGAAAGAAAGAAAAGCUCAGCUGUAGUUCGAGCUUCCCAGCAACAGUAAUUCCGACGGAACUGACCAAUUGCUGUUUGAAUACAGAGCGGUAGACUGAGAUAACACUGUUAUGUAACGCCUGCGCUGUUACAAGAGCAGAAAUAAUCAAGUUCGCUGGGAGAGUAAUUUGCUUGCGAUAGCAGAUUAACAUAACAUAACCUAACAGGAAUUUGACGCAGCCAUCUCUAGCUUGGGGGUGCUUUUCUGGUGUCGUUGCUCACAGCAACACUCUCCACCAAAUUAGUAGGUUUUUGAAUAGCUGCUAGAAAAUCUUCCUGCACAGUGUUUAUCGUUUGAGAAGUAUUUACCGUGAGUGGACGCAGUGAUUUGAUACUCAUCGAAGGAAAGGAAGCUGGUCGCAGGGCAAGAUGGGCUGUGAGUGCAGGCCCCUCGGGUUUCUCAUAGGAUUACCUUUCAUGUUGGUGGCGUCGCUGCUCUCAUUAAUUGGCGUGUUGCUAUGGAUUAUCACGGUUCCACUCAUGUUCUGCUGCCCCUGCAUAAUCUGCAUCACUCUACUUGCAGAGUUUGCUGUGAGCCUCAUCAAAGCACCCUUCGAUGUCAUCACAUGGUUCACCGAGCAAAUACCAUGCUGACUGAGCAUAUAUAUAUAUAUAUAUAUAUAUCAAGCUGUAAAUACGACUUUGUCAUAGCGUGCUAAUUUUAGUGAUAUGUGCCGGCGUCAAGGUACAAUUUUCAGGAAUUUUGUGUCAUUUCGUCACUUUCAGAUGUGAAUGAGAAUAAUCUACAUGUGAAGUUGCAAGUGAAGUCAUUUGCUUUUGCAUGUUAAUGCCUAGCUACCAGGGGGAAGUAAAGCUCUCAUACUACUGUGAGGACAACGUAGCUGGAAACUGCAAAUAUACUCUUUGUUCAUAUCAUGAGGUUAUUGUUUCCAGUUUUGCAAUGCCGUCUGUGAAGCAAGACUUGCUGGACUGAAAUGUCCCAAGUGACAUAGUUUGUGGUGAUGGAUAGAAUCUGUUGCAUAAUAUUCAAGAACCCUUUUGUUUUUUCUUUA
Molecule: non-coding RNA, 1843 nt
Organism: Physcomitrium patens
Lineage: Eukaryota; Viridiplantae; Streptophyta; Bryopsida; Funariales; Funariaceae
Source: RefSeq, a predicted model, not a curated record